UACAUGCACCAUAUGCUGGUUCAAUAAGAAAAAGAGUGAUGCACUUAUUGUCUCAAAAGUUCAAUAAGUAAGGAGUGUUUCAUUAGGCAGUUUUGUAUCCAUUAAACUCGUGCCAUCCACUCACCGUGUAUCCUAGUUGAUGAGAUGUCAUAUUUGAACCCUAUCAACCGGAAAGGAGGGAGUAACUUUUAAGUUGCAACAUAUUAUUAAUCUAAUUUACCAUAUCGAUGACUGGUAAGGAGAGCUCCUAUGCUGCGCUACAGGCGUUUGUUAACGAUCCAGCGCCUACAACACUGCUAGCAUGGGCCAGCUCAUUAGAGUGCUGCCC
This 328-nucleotide long non-coding RNA is filed under the name Hordeum vulgare. RNAcentral's name for it is "long non-coding RNA (HVUL_LNC020489)". Lineage: Eukaryota; Viridiplantae; Streptophyta; Magnoliopsida; Poales; Poaceae. The record is from RNAcentral.